RNAcentral lists this ribosomal RNA (406 nucleotides) under uncultured bacterium. Its description in RNAcentral is "partial 16S ribosomal RNA". It matches the Rfam family "Bacterial small subunit ribosomal RNA", at positions 30 to 526 of the family's 1533-position model. The record is from RNAcentral.
AUCGAACGCUGGCGGCAUGCCUAACACAUGCAAGUCGAACGUGUGGCGGACGGGUGAGUAAUGUCUGGGAACCUGCCUGAUGGAGGGGGAUAACUAGUGGAAACGGUAGCUAAUACCGCAUACCAUCGGAUGUGCCCAGAGGGGAGUAGCUAGUAGGUGGGGUAAAGGCUCACCGAGGCGACGAUCCCUAGCUGGGCUGAGAGGAUGAUCAGUCACACUGGAACUGAGACACGGUCCAGACUCCUACGGGAGGCAGCAGUGGGGAAUAUUGGGCAAUGGGCGAAAGCCUGAUCGAGCCAUGCCGCGUGUGUGAAGAAGGUUUUCGGAUUGUAAAGCUCUUUAAGUUGGGAGGCGGUACCAACAGAAUAAGCACCGGCUAACUACGUGCCAGCAGCCGCGGUAAUUC